AAACGGACACAACUCCGGGAAGCCUUUGAGCAGCUCCAGGCCAAGAAACAAAUGGCCAUGGAGAAACGCAGAGCAGUCCAGAACCAGUGGCAGCUACAACAGGAGAAGCAUCUGCAGCAUCUGGCGGAGGUUUCUGCAGAGGUGAGGGAGCGUAAGACAGGGACUCAGCAGGAGCUUGACAGGGUGUUUCAGAAACUUGGAAACCUGAAGCAGCAGGCAGAACAGGAGCGGGACAAGCUGCAGAGGGUAAGCUGUUGUUCCCUGAGGCUGAGGCUGAGGCAGAGAAUCUUCCAGAUGAUAAACCCCAGCAGCCGACUCGACCCCAGGAGCAGAGUACAGGAGACACCAUGGGGAGAGACCCUGGUGUGUCCUUCAAGGCUGUUGGUCUACAACCUGCUGGAGAUGUAAAUUUGCCAUGACUUCCUGGAGGACAGCAGCAUGGAGAAAGAUCCUAGAAAAGGCCUCUGACUUCCCUCACCUCCCAACCAUCAUUACAGGAAAGACUGUGAACUCCUGAGUUCAGCUUGAUUUCUGACUACAUCCCAGCAAGCUCUGGCAUCUGUGGAUUAAAAUCCCUGGAUCUCUCUCAGUUGUGUAUUUGUUCAUCUUCAUAUGCUGGCAGGAACAACUAUUAAUACAGAUACUCAGAAGCCAAUAACAUGACAGGAGCUGGGACUGGUUUGAACACAGGGUGUGCAGAUGGGGAGGGGGUACUGGCCUUGGGCCUCCUAUGAUGCAGACAUGGUGAAUUUAAUUCAAGGAGGAGGAGAAUGUUUUAGGCAGGUGGUUAUAUGUGGGAAGAUAAUUUUAUUCAUGGAUCCAAAUGUUUG
This 830-nucleotide long non-coding RNA is filed under the name Homo sapiens (human). RNAcentral describes it as "non-protein coding lnc-PCDH15-2:3". Lineage: Eukaryota; Metazoa; Chordata; Mammalia; Primates; Hominidae. The record is from RNAcentral.